This 252-nucleotide ribosomal RNA is filed under the name uncultured bacterium. RNAcentral's name for it is "partial 16S ribosomal RNA". It matches the Rfam family "Bacterial small subunit ribosomal RNA", at positions 524 to 776 of the family's 1533-position model. The record is from RNAcentral.
UACGUAGGUCCCGAGCGUUGUCCGGAUUUAUUGGGCGUAAAGCGAGCGCAGGCGGUUUAUUAAGUCUGGUGUAAAAGGCAGUGGCUCAACCAUUGUAUGCAUUGGAAACUGGUAGACUUGAGUGCGGGAGAGGAGAGUGGAAUUCCAUGUGUAACGGUGAAAUGCGUAGAUAUAUGGAGGAACACCGGUGGCGAAAGCGGCUCUCUGGCCUGUAACUGACACUGAGGCUCGAAAGCGUGGGGAGCAAACAGG